ACAGACGGAAAUACAUGUGGAGACUGAACUUACUUCAUGUAAGUAGGGAAAAUACAGAGGAAAACACCAUCCUAAAAUAAAUACAUUUUCAAUCACUGCUUCCAGAACGGUGUCGAAACGUAUCGAAGGUGUUGGAGGAAGUUGAGAAGAUGUGACCUCUGGCUGACCUGCUGGCUGGACUGGCAAGUCGAGGCCCUUCACCCUCUCGCUUGUCCUUGAAAUGUAUCCUCUGCCCACAAUGGGAGCCAUGUUCAAGGUCACAGCCUUGAGAGAGUAAGGUGCUGGGACCAUCUGGACUGAAUAUGUGACUCAAUUCAGGUAAGGCCUUUGCAUAAACUCAAGAUUCUGGGCCCAAGUUCAGCCUCGGAUAUAAGUUCCUUGCUUAUUACACCACCACUUCCCAGCCUAGAGUAGCUGGUCCCUUUCCUCUAUCUCUCCUUGUUCUCCACGAACGGGGGCCAGUUUCGGAUUUCACCUGGGAAGCUCCUGAGGUCUCAGACCAAUAGAAGGACCCUUAAAACCUGGUUGUCUUUACAUCUAUCUCUCUGCAACGGUGAUUUUUGGACUGACUUGGACUCAAAGGUAUUUCCUGGGGCCACCCUAAGAACAUGGUUGAUCUCAAUUGUUUUAUUAGAAUGUCUGACUUUGGAGAGGAUGCUUCCCGUACAUGUACAAAGCACUAAGGCAUCAAGUGAGAAACACCUUCAGGAAAUGGACAUUGGUACACUGUAGGUGCAUAGCUCUAUGUGAAUUUUAAUUUUUUUUUUAAUUUUUUUUAUGGUGGCACCUGUGGCAUAUGGAAGUUCCAGGGCUAGGAGUCAAAUGGGAGCUGAAGCUGAGGCCUGCACCACAGCCAUGGCAACACCAGAUCCUUGACCCACUGAGACAAGGCUCGAACUGCAUCUUCCCAGAGAUAACAUUGGGUUCUAAACCUGCUGAACCACAAUGGGAACUCCAAUAAUCUAUGGAAUAUUUCCAUGACAGCUGCUAUGAACAAUGAUGUAUAGGUUUGUAUACAUAUAUAUUUUCAUUUCUCUAGGAUGAAUGCGAUUGCUGGGCCAUACGGUAAGUAUAUGUUUAGUUAGUUUUUUUUUUUUUUUUUAAAAGAAACUGUCCAACUGUUUUUCAGAGUGGCUAUAUCAUUUUAUCAUUUUCCAUCCUAGCAUGCUAUUUUUAUUUUUUAAAAAAUCAAGCAUCAACUCCUUAGGAAAGUGAUUCUUUUUUUUUUUUUAGGGCAUACCUGCGGCAUUUGAAAGUUCCCAGGCUAGUGGUUGAAUCAGAGCUGCAGCUGCCAGCGUACACCACAGCCACAGCAAUGCUGGAUCCAAGCCGCGUCUGCAACCUACACCACAGCUCAAGGCAAUGUCGGAUCCUUACCCUACUGAGUGAGACCAAGGAUCAAACCUGCAUCCUCAUGGAUACAAGUCGGGCUCAUUACCCCUGAGCCACAGCAGAAACUCCCAGGCAAGUGAUUCUUGAUACAGGUUUUUCAAGUGGGAAAUGUCAAUUUAUGCAUAGACUUGUAAUUAUUCUGUCUGACCACAUUCCAUUCCUUUUGCAAGGUAAAACAUCAUAAUUGAUGGAGAAAACUCAGAUCACAGUACAAGGCUUAUGGAGACUACAGAUACAGAGGCUAAGCUGGGUGGACAUAAGCAGGAAAGGACAUCUUAGACCUACAAUUGUUGACCUCUCUUUAUCAAGGUGGACACAACUUGUUCCGGCAUUUCUGAUCAUCAAGAGGCACUUUGUCAUCAAAGGGUGCUCAUCUUUCAAGAUGCUGUAACAAUUUUGAGUAUGAUCUUCUUGCCUUGCCGCAUUUAGGGUUUAGGAGCCCAUAUUUUAAAGUAGAAAGGGCAAGGAUGGAAGGUCACGGCAGGGACUCUCAGAGGCAAUAGUCAAAGUCAUAGAGUGGUGGGAAGAAAAUGAUCUCUCAGAGUCGCUUCUAUCGCUUUCCAUCUCUUUAACUGGCUUGUGCGGCUUAACACCUCUCAGCCUCAGCUUUCUUUCCAGUAAAAUAAGCGCCCUCAUAUCUACCUUAUGGGGUCCAUGAAAGCAUGACAUCAAUUGAGCAGGCGAAUCAGUGAACCUGCAGAAGCAACAAACACAGCUACCAUUUGUUGGGGACGUAACACAUUUGAGGCUCUGUGCAGACAUUUGAAAGACAUGGCUGUGUCACUUCCUCUGUCUAAUUUCUCUUCAUCUUCUCCCUCUCUUUUUAUUUCCUGAAGCUAGAAAUACGAUGGCGAGUUUAAAACUUUGUUCUUUCAUUCAACAAACAUUUUUUGAGCAACUCCUGUGUGCUAGUCAUGGUUCUUUGUUCUUAAGACACAGCUCCAAACAAGACAGACCAGAUCUAUAUUCUCAGAUAUUAUAGUGAAGGGAGACUGAAAACAAUGGGUAAGCAAAUACAUAUGCUAGGUAAUUUCGGACCGAUCAAGGUACUAAAACAACAACAACAAAAACAAGGUGUCACGAAGAGACAGAGACAGCUGGGAUGGGUGGGAAGAUAAUGAAUGAAGGUUAUUUUAAUUAAUUGAUUGAUUGAUUGGUUGACUUUUAAAUCUUAUUGGAGUACAACUGACUUAAAAUGUUGUGUUACUUUUAGGUGUAUAGCAAAGUGAAUCAGUUUACAUAUCCAUAUAUCCAUUCUUUUCAGAUUCUUUUCCCAUGUAAGUUAUUACAGAAUAUUGAGUAUAUUUGGCUGUGCUAUACAGUAGGUCCUUACAACUUAUAUAUUGUAUGUAUAGUAGUAUGCAUAUGUUAAUCCCAAGCUCCUAAUUUAGCCCCCCCCCCCCAAUGUUUCCUCUUUGGUAACCAUUUGGUUUUGAGAUCUUUGAGUCUGUGUCUGUCUUGUAAAUAAGUUCUUUUCUAUCACUUUUUAUUACAUUCCACAUAUAAGUGAUAUCGUAUGCUGUUUGUCUUUCUGACAUACUUCACUUACUAUGAGAAUCUCUAGUUGCAUCCAUGUUGUUGGAAAUGCCAUUCAUUUGUUCUUUUUUAUGGCUGAGUAAUAUUCCUGUGUAUAUAUGUACCACCUCUGAAUGAUGGCUAUUUUAGAAAGGGUGAUGAGAAAGUGUGUGACAUUAGAAAAGAAACUUGAAGUGAGGAAUGAGCAAUGGGAAAAGGUAGGAAAAGUGAGCUGUGGGCAGAGUGUAUGCAAGUAAAAUGAACUUAAUGUGUUUGAAGAGCAAAGAAGUCAGAAUUCCAAGUGGUUAGCAAAUGAGAGAAUGCAGGAGGUGAAGAAGGAGAGACUGGGUUUUCUAGAAGGGCAGGAAGUUUGACUUUAUUCUAAAUGUGAUGGAGGGUUUUGCACAUUGGAAUGAUGUCCUCUGAUUUAUGUUUUAUAAGGAAAAUUUAUUCUAUUGUUUGAAGAUGACUCGAGGGGUUAAAAUGACCAGGAGGCAUGAUAAGGAAAGAGUGAGAAGGCCAAGGCAAAAUCCAAAUGAGUGAUGACUGUGGUUUGGCCAAAGGUUUUUGCCAUUGGGGUAGAGAGAAGAUGGCUUUUGGAUAAGUUUGGGAGAUGAGCUGAUUAGACCCACAUGGAUAGAACUUGGGAAAUAAAAGAAAGGGAAAAUCAAGGAUGACUUCUAGGCUUGGGCUGAGCACUUGUUUGUUGGAAAAUCUAGGACUCCCUUAACUGCCCCACUGUGUGUUUUAAGAGGAAGCAAUUGCUCGUGUUAUACAAGAUGAGCUCUUAAGUCUGCAUGUGUGAUAUUCAGUGGGACCAAGACCGGGCUAGAGAUACAGUUGAACUGGAGAAAAGAUGUUGAUGUUUCCUGAAUCUUUGGGUUGUGUUCUUUCAGUAUACUGGUGGUGGAUUACUUUGUAACUUUUGCUUCAGUUUUCCUCCAACUGCUCCGGUUUCCACCCCCACUCUCCGCUCCCACUUCUGCUGCUUCCUCUUCACUUCAGCAGUGCAAGAACCACCUUGCAGGGCACGGCAAGUUCAACAGACUUGGCACCUGGGCCCUGGUGGAUGAGUUCUACCCUUUAGGCAGUGUGGCCUCCUGGCCUGCCAAAUCUGGAAUGCUUUCCUGGCUGCCUAUGCUGCUCCGGCACAGGGCUUCGGGGCUGGAGCAGAGCAGGACAGACUCCUACCCAUGCCUCUUUUGGUUAGGGUAUGAGGGGGAAGGGCCUGCAGCCCUGGGUGGUUCAUGAUGCCGAAACCCCAGGACUGCUGCUUGGGGCUGACUCUGGGAGUUGGUGUAGACAGUAGCUAGGCUCUGAGGCAUUUUGACAGCAAUUUUCAAGAGAGUCCCUUACCUUCCCUGAACUCCAAUUCUCUCAUCCAUAAAGAUGGGAUAGUAAUAACGAUUAAAGAUAGGACGGUGAUAACAAUUGUUUUGAGUUAUUGUAAUUAUUGACCACUUUUUUGGUGUCUUUUUAGGGUUGUACCCGCGGCAUAUGAAAGUUCCCAGGCUAGGGGUCAAAUCAGGGCUGUAGCUGUUGGCCUACACCACAACUACAGCAAUGCCAGAUCUGAGCCGUGUCUGCAAUGUACACCACAGCUCACAGCAAUGCCAGAUCCUUAACCCACUAAGUGAGGCCAGGGAUCAAAGCCACGUCAUUAUAGUUAUCCUGGAUACCAGUAGGGUUUGUUAACCACUGAGACAUGGUGAGAAUUCCUGAUUAUUGACAAUUUGAGAGGCAGUAAAGAGCCAAGGGACAUUUGGCUUGGAGUCUAGAGGCAGGAAAAGACCUCCAUUCUUUUCCAUAUGGAUCCUGACAUUGGAACGUGUUUCUUAACCAAUCUGUGCCUCAGUUUCCUUAUCUCCUCUAAAAGAAUAAUAAUGGUGCCUACCUCAAAUGGCUAUCCCGAGAUUUAAUUUCUUGGAAAGUGCUUCCAACUGUGACUGGCAUUUGACUAUAGCACCUAAAAAUAGUGUUUGACAAGAGGCACUUGAUGCUUGUCUGGUAGGAAAAAAAUGAUGUCUAGAAAAAGUGCAGAAAUAGCAUUAAAAAUUAUUGUUUUAAAUUUUGUUAUAUCCUUCAUUUGCAUUACUGCUUCUGUUUUCCAGAAAUAACUACAGUUUCAGUACAUGAAUCUCUGGGAUUUAAAUGAGAGGAUGACAUGCUCAGAUGCCUAUGAGGGGUGAGAGCAGGUAACACAAAUAAGUAAGGGAAGUAGGCUCGGGGGAUAGACCAGGGCGCAUAUGGUCUCAUCUGUCUUAACAGGUUACAUGGCUUAGCAGUGGUGUCACACGAAAGUUCUUUAAGAGAAGCUGGAAAUCUGGAAUUUUUAGAUAAAAUUUCCAGGUUUAUAAACAUGGGUGGUUAGACCAAAGUGCUGGGAAAAACAAAAAACAAAACAAAACAAAACAAGACAAAACAAACCUUGCUGGCUAAAGAGACAUCUGAUCCAUGGGGUAGGUCUGGCCAUGGGCCACCAGUUUAGUUACAUGGAUCUAGAUAACUGUGGAUCAGUUUGUGAAAUCAGCUGCAAGUGGGAUCCGGGAAGGUACAUUUAAAUGAGAGGAUGUUUUCAUAUGGAAAGCUACAGUGGGGGCUGCUCCGGAGCUUCCUCUGGAGUAGGAAACGGGGUUGGGAGUGAUGGGGAGGAUGCCGAAAGAUGAAGCAUGUGAUCCAGAUGGCCUGGGCAUACUUCAAAACCCGAUGUAGGGCUGGCCUCAGUGCCAUAGAUGUCUGUGUUUUGAACAUACAGGUUGUUUUUACUUCCUUGGCAGUCAGGUGAUACGGAGGCAGUAUUGUUCAAUUCACUGCUUCCUGGGGCCUGAUUGCACCUGCUGUGCAUAGCUAUGGCAUCACUCAUGGUUAGGCAACUGCUUGCCUUUGUCCUGAGGCUCCUGUGGGUCCCACCUGAUGCAGGUGUUUUGGAGGGAGCAUACACAGGUAGACUGCUUGGAUUGGAUCCUAUAACCCAGUCCACUAACCUGAUCUAUAGAGCAGGUGCCCAGAGAGUGGGGCUGAACUUCACUUUCAAUGACCUGGACUAUCACACAGCUAUUUGGUUAUGGUUUUCAUAAUUCAGCAAAGAUGACUUAAGGCUUUAUGGUGUUAUAGAGUGCUCUGGCAUCCAUGGCAAAGCCUAAAAUCAGGUGGAAGAUAAAACAUUAUAAUUAUUAUUCAUAUUCAAAGUAAAACUCAAACACCUAAUGCUAUUUAAAAGUUAUAGGACAGUACUAGGCAAUCAGUGGUUAUUAACAAGGGUUGUUUAGCGAUAUCUGGAGACAUUAUAGUUGUUAUAACUGAGUGAGAGGUUUGCUGCUGGCAUAUAGUGGGUGGACGCCAUGGAUGCUUCAAAACAUCCUGCAAUGCCCAGGACAGUCCCCCACCACAAAAAAUUAUCGGGGCUCACAUGUCGAUAGUGACAAGGCUGAGAAACCUGUAAUAAAUUGAAAGAAAAAAAAUUCAUAUGAGAAGGUAACUUUAGAAAUAAAAUUAGGGGCAUAAAUUAAAGGCUGCCAUGCACUGGGUUUAAGAUGUGUAUAUAUGCGUGCUUUUAGCAAAUUGAUUUCUUCAUGUACUCAUGGCUGAAUUAAAUCAAUUAUAUAUAAAGCGACCUACUUCCUCCUAUCACAAGAAACUAUUUUCACUAUAAAGGAGCUUAGAGCUGCACAUAGAAGCCCAAUGCCCACCCCCAAAGCCAAAUAUGCUAAUAUCUAGAGCAAUUAUCAUACAAGCAGGUAGAACCCAAAGAGAAAAAACUAGGGUCCUUGAUCCUUCCAAGUGGAGCCAUCACUUGUGUCCUCUCCACCGAUUGCUCCCAGUAGGUGGUCAAGUUCAUUGCCUUUGACAUCUUGCUUUGCUGACAGAUGCUUUCAAUACGAAGGCAAUUCAAAAGCAAAUGAAUAGAGGCUGAGGAGUUCAUGCAAUAGACCUGCUGUGGGUUCAUCACCCACGUCCAGUGCAAUACUUCCUAAGAGGUACCCCUUGAAUGGAAGACACAGGUCAUUUUUUCCAGAGGACAGGCUCUUCCUUCAAGUUCAGACUGAUCUGUUGAGGACAGUAGACAACAGAAAGUGGCUGGCAGAGUUGGGAUAUUGAGACCACACCCUGAAUUUUGUGAAACAUUUGAUAGAAAAGAAGAGAGGCGUUCCUGCUGUGGCUCAGUGGUUAAGAAACCAACCAGUAUCUAUGAGGUUGAUGGAUCCCUGGUCCUGGUCAGUGGGUUAAGGAUCUCUCAUUGCCGUGAGCUGUGGUUUAGGUCACAGACUUGGCUCAGAUCUGGCUGUUGCUGUGGCUGUGACUGUGGCCAGCAGCUGCAGCUCUGAUUCAGCACCUAGCCUGGGAACUUCCCUAUGCCAU
This 7266-nucleotide long non-coding RNA is filed under the name Sus scrofa (pig). Its description in RNAcentral is "lncRNA (ENSSSCG00025032044.1, ENSSSCG00035073987.1)". Lineage: Eukaryota; Metazoa; Chordata; Mammalia; Artiodactyla; Suidae. The record is from RNAcentral.